RNAcentral lists this ribosomal RNA (496 nucleotides) under uncultured bacterium. RNAcentral's name for it is "partial 16S ribosomal RNA". It matches the Rfam family "Bacterial small subunit ribosomal RNA", at positions 28 to 506 of the family's 1533-position model. The record is from RNAcentral.
GAUGAACGCUGGCGGCGUGCCUAAUACAUGCAAGUCGAGCGAACAGACGAGGAGCUUGCUCCUCUGACGUUAGCGGCGGGCGGGUGAGUAACACGUGGAUAACCUACCUAUAAGACUGGGAUAACUUCGGGAAACCGGAGCUAAUACCGGAUAAUAUAUUGAACCGCAUGGUUCAAUAGUGAAAGACGGUUUUGCUGUCACUUAUAGAUGGAUCCGCGCCGCAUUAGCUAGUUGGUAAGGUAACGGCUUACCAAGGCAACGAUGCGUAGCCGACCUGAGAGGGUGAUCGGCCACACUGGAACUGAGACACGGUCCAGACUCCUACGGGAGGCAGCAGUAGGGAAUCUUCCGCAAUGGGCGAAAGCCUGACGGAGCAACGCCGCGUGAGUGAUGAAGGUCUUCGGAUCGUAAAACUCUGUUAUUAGGGAAGAACAAAUGUGUAAGUAACGAUGCACGUCUUGACGGUACCUAAUCAGAAAGCCACGGCUAACUACGU